GACGAACGCUGGCGGCGUGCCUAAUACAUGCAAGUCGAACGAGAAUUUCUUACACCGAAUGCUUGCAUUCACCGUAAGAAUUCGAGUGGCGGACGGGUGAGUAACACGUGGGUAACCUGCCCAAAAGAAGGGGAUAACAUUUGGAAACAAAUGCUAAUACCGUAUAACCAUGAUGACCGCAUGGUCAUUAUGUGAAAGGUGGUUCUGCUAUCGCUUUUGGAUGGACCCGCGGCGUAUUAACUAGUUGGUAGGGUAACGGCCUACCAAGGUGAUGAUACGUAGCCGAACUGAGAGGUUGAUCGGCCACAAUGGGACUGAGACACGGCCCAUACUCCUACGGGAGGCAGCAGUAGGGAAUCUUCCACAAUGGGCGCAAGCCUGAUGGAGCAACGCCGCGUGAAUGAAGAAGGUCUUCGGAUCGUAAAAUUCUGUUGUUAGAGAAGAAUAUGAGUAAUAGUAACUGAUUAUUCACUGACGGUAUCUAACCAGCAAGUCACGGCUAACUACGUGCCAGCAGCCGCGGUAAUACGUAGGUGGCAAGCGUUGUCCGGAUUUAUUGGGCGUAAAGGGAACGCAGGCGGUUUUUUAAGUCUGAUGUGAAAGCCUUCGGCUUAACCGGAGAUGUGCAUUGGAAACUGGAAGACUUGAGUGCAGAAGAGGAGAGUGGAACUCCAUGUGUAGCGGUGAAAUGCGUAG
RNAcentral lists this ribosomal RNA (696 nucleotides) under uncultured bacterium. RNAcentral describes it as "bacterial SSU rRNA". It matches the Rfam family "Bacterial small subunit ribosomal RNA", at positions 28 to 693 of the family's 1533-position model. The record is from RNAcentral.